Molecule: long non-coding RNA, 7771 nt
Filed under: Populus trichocarpa (black cottonwood)
Lineage: Eukaryota; Viridiplantae; Streptophyta; Magnoliopsida; Malpighiales; Salicaceae
Description: long non-coding RNA (PTRI_LNC004148)
Source: RNAcentral
UGGAAUAAUCUUUAAUAUGCAUAUAUGAUAAGUAAAUAUGUAUGUUGAUUAUACAAUGAGUACAACUCGUUAAUUUCUUGAAUAAUUAUAUAUGUUGCUUAUUUUCCGAGUACUCAUUUAUUCUUGAAUUUGCACUUGCAAUCUGUCAAAGUAAAUUCUAUUUGAUAUGAUAUAUGUUUCUUUGAUGACUAUGUGAAUAUCUAUUAUGCCUUGAUAUGGGACUUGUCAGUAACUCCAUGCUAACGGAGAGUAGUUAGCCUGUGUGCACAUAGUAUUCUGUAUGUAUACCUAGCUGGUGAGAGAGGCAUCAGCCUGUGGCGACUGAUCAUCCCACAGUGGUCACCUUCGGGUGUCAUCUGGUCUGGUCACCUUCGGGUGUCAUCUGGUCACCUUCGGGUGUCAUCUGAUCUCUGACAUAUAGUCCAUUACGUUAUGAUGAUAUGUUUAGUAUGUAUGAUAUGUUCAGUAUGUAUAUGUAUAUGUAUAUGUAUAUCAAGAUAAAUGAUCUUGCGAACUAUUAAUAUCAAGAAUAUCUAAAAUGUAUAUUAAUUAUUAUUCCCUCACUGAGUUGGUUGAACUCACCCCUCAUUCUUAAUAUUAUUUCAGGUUCUUAGUUUCUGAUAGCAGGUGAACUUUGUUGAGUGUUCCUGCUUCUUCAGUUUUGGGUCAGUAUGCCUUGCUUAUCUUUCAAGGCUGUUUGAUUCGAUGUCUUAGGCGCUCCACUAUUACCUUGUUUUAAUUAAGUUUGGAUUUUGACAAUGUAAUGAGUAUUAUGGAUUAUUAUUUUUGUUUUAAUUACUGAUGAGGAGUUUUAAACUAUCUUUUGGUUUCAUCAGUUUUGAAUAAUAUAAGAUUUCUGAAGAUUAUGAAAUGCUGCGUAUUUUUGAAUAAAUUAUUCUUUUGAUAUGUCCGUUUUGAGGCUUAGCGCGGGCGGGGUGUCCUUCCGGCACCGCUCCUGCGUUGCCGGUCAUGGACCCGGGAUUCGGGUCGUGACAAAGGUGGUAUCAGAGCCCGGUUUUUAUUAAAACCUCGUAAUCUAUUUUAUUCAUUUUUAUUUUUUUCAAAACCCUCGUAAUAUGUGGAGCUUAGGAUCUAUCUUGUCUUGAUGUCAGUCCUCUUAUAAUUCUCCAAUCUAGUGUUUGGUGUGUCCUCCUUAAAACUCCUUUAUAGUUAUGUUGAUACAUAUAUGUAAAUGCAUUCUUUUAGGAAAUAUGCCGAGAGCUAAGCAUGUAGUUAAUGCCGAAUAUGUCGGUAAUGAUCAAGAGGACAUUCCUAUCGCUCAGCUUAGGAAGGAGAGGCGCAAAAAGAGGGUUAGAACCCCUUCGCCUUAACCAAUGGAAGCAGAAGUUCAGGAUGAGGUGGAGUUUGAGGGAGACUAUGGUCUGGAUGUUGGUAAGAAUCAGGAGCAGGAAUCCCAUGAUAGGGUGUCUUAUACUGACAGUGCUUUGGAUAAGAUUGGACAGGCCAUGCAGACCCUGGCUGACCUUUUAACUGAGAGAGAGAAGGAGAAGGAUAAGAAUGCAUCUUCGACUUCCCAUACCGUGCAUGGGGUGAAAGUACCAUUGUCAGAGUUCCUUAAGCUGGCACCUCCUACUUUUAAGGGUGUUGAUAACUCUGAGGACCCACAACAGUUUUUGGAUGCAGUGUGGCGUAGGUGUGAGGCCAUGGGGUGCACGGAUCAUCGUGCAGUGACUUUGGCAUCUUUCAGGCUAGAAGGAGAGGUGGCUGUGAACUGGUAUGAGUCCAAGAGGGGUGAAAGGGCAGUUAGUUCGCCACCGAUGGAGUGGAAGGAAUUUUCUGAGAUGUUUUUGGAACGUUUUCUACCUGAAAGUGUAAGGGAAGCCAGAUCAUAUGAGUUUGAAAAGUUGGUUCAGGGUGACUUGAGUGUGACAGAGUAUGAAGUGGAAUUCACACGGUUGUCCAGAUUUGCUGGGUAUUUGGUACCGACUGAGGAGAGGAAGAUUAAGAGGUUUGUUCGAGGUCUUAAUAGCUACUUAUUCAAAGCUAUUGGGGCUCAUGAGUUUAAGACGUACUCAGCCAUAGUGGAUCGUGCCCGAGCUAUUGAGGCACGAGAGUUAGAGGAUGAAUUAUCAGUGGGUUCGGUUAAGAGGCCCAAAGUGGCAAAUCAGUUCUCUUUUCAGCAGCGGUCUGAUACAGGUCCUAGCAGGGGACAUGGGGGCCGGCAGGGCCAAUUAAGUCAGUCAAGGAAUUUCUUGUCGAGGUCCAUUAUCAGAGGAAACAAUAGACAUAGCAUGAGUGGAGCUGGUCCGACUCAGAGCCGAGGUACUGUUCAGUUAACACCACAAGGUUCAGAUGGGAGGCCUCAAUGUCAGUCUUGUGGGUCUAGGCAUUAUGGCACAGUCUGUUAUAGGCAGACAGGAGCUUGUUUCGGUUGCGGGCAGACUGAUCACUUGUUAAGGGAUUGUCCGAACAAGCGGUGGUCCAAGCCUGGUGCUUCUGUACUGAUUACAUCUUCCACUCAGACUCAGUCAGCUAGCCAUUCUGUGUUUCAGGGUGGUCGUGGAGCUGGUGGGCGUGGCCAGCGGGGCCGUGAAGUAGGCGGUAGAGGUUUUGCGCCAACAAGUCAGAGCCAGGCACGAGUUUUUGCCAUUACUCAGCAUGAUGCCCAGACAUCCAAUACUGUUGUCUCAGGUACACUCUUAAUAUGUUCCUUCGAGGCUAGAGUGUUAUUUGACACGGGGGCAACUCAUUCUUUCGUGUCGUCAUAUUUUGCUUUAAGGUUUACUAAACAACCCAUGUUGUUAGAGAGUCCUUUGUGUGUAGCUAUCCCUUCGGAUGACGUUAUGUUUGGGGAAUAUGUUUAUGUUGAUUGUGAGGUUCAAGUGCAAGGUAGAAACCUAUUAGGCAAUUUGGUAAUUUUAGAAAUAGUAGGUUUUGAUGUGAUACUAGGUAUGGAUUGGUUAUCAAGGCACCAUGCCUCAGUUGAUUGUUGGAAUAAGACAGUGAUUUUCAAGCCUGAUGAGGAGACGGAGUUUGCUUUUCAUGGAGAUGGGUUAUCAUCUCCAUCUAGUAUUCUCUCGGCCAUCACGAGAAGGAUGGUACGAAAGGGUAUGCAAGGGUUUUUGGCUUAUGUGCAUGAUGUGAACAUGAAGGUCCCGAGGAUGGAACAAGUUUCGAUAGUUAAGGAAUUCAUCGAUGUUUUUCCCAAUGACUUACCUGGACUACCUCCCAAUAGGGAAAUCGAGUUCUGUAUUGAUCUAGUUUCAGGAACAAAACCAAUCUCUAUGGCACCUUACAGGAUGGCGCCAGCAGAAUUAAAAGAGUUGAAGGAGCAGAUUCAAGAUUUGUUAGAUAAGGGGUUUAUUCGUCCAAGUGUGUCUCCGUGGGGAGCACCUGUUUUAUUUGCAAAGAAGAAGGAUGGAUCAAUGAGGAUGUGUAUAGACUAUAGACAGUUGAACAAGGUCACUGUUAAGAAUAGAUACCCACUUCCUCGCAUUGAUGAUCUUUUUGAUCAAUUACAAGGAGCUCAAUGUUUCUCAAAGAUUGAUUUGCGAUCGGGGUAUCACCAGUUGAGGAUUAGGAAUGAGGAUAUUCCUAAAACUGCCUUUAGGACUCGUUAUGGGCAUUACGAGUUCCUAGUGUUGUCUUUUGGGUUAACGAAUGCACCUGCAGCUUUUAUGGACAUGAUGAACAGGGUUUUUAGGCCGUUUAUUGAUAAGUUUGUUAUUGUGUUCAUUGAUGACAUCUUGGUGUAUUCAAGAAGUAAAGAGGACCAUGCAGAGCAUUUGAGAUUGGUGCUUCAAACUCUAAGAGAUCAUCAGUUGUAUGGAAAGUUCUCGAAGAGUGAGUUUUGGUUAGAGAGUGUUGGGUUUUUGGGACAUGUGGUGUCUAAAAAUGGGAUAGAGGUUGAUCCACAGAAAGUGGAGGCAGUUAAGCAGUGGCCUAGACCAGUUACGGUAUCUGAGAUUAGGAGUUUCCUGGGUUUAGCAGGAUACUACAGGAGAUUCGUGGAGAAUUUUUCCCGAAUCGCUGCUCCGUUGACGAAGUUGACACAGAAAAGUGUCAAGUUUCAAUGGUCAGAAGAAUGUGAGAAGAGUUUCCUGGAGUUGAAGGAAAGGUUAAUUACGGCUCCAAUUUUGACAGUACCUUCAGGGUCUGGUGGUUUUACCGUGUACUGUGAUGCAUCCAGGAUUGGUUUGGGUUGUGUUUUGAUGCAGAAUGGUAAUGUGAUUGCUUAUGCCUCGAGAAAGUUGAAGAAGCACGAGCAAAAUUACCCCACACACGAUUUGGAGAUGGCUGCGGUAGUGUUUGCCCUUAAGAUUUGGAGACACUAUUUGUAUGGGGAGACAUGUGAGAUAUUUUCAGAUCAUAAGAGUCUUCAAUAUAUCUUCCAGCAGAAGGAUCUGAAUUUGAGACAGAGAAGGUGGAUGGAAUUGUUAAGUGAUUAUGAUUGCACGAUUCAAUAUCACCCGGGCAAGGCAAAUGUUGUUGCCGAUGCCUUAAGCAGAAAAUCUAUGGGUAGUUUGGCUCAUAUUCAGGAGGUGAGGAGACCCUUGAUUAAAGAGUUACAUGGAUUGUUAGAUGAGAGGGUCAGUUUUGAGAUUUGUGAAUCGGGAGCAUUGUUGGCUCACUUUCAGGCUAAGUCAGACUUAGUAGACCGGAUUAAAGGAGCUCAAAUGAAGGAUGAGCGACUUUGCAAGAUUCGAGAUGAGUUGGAGUUAGGGAGAGCUCCGGGUUUUGUUAUCCAUGAAGAUGGUGUGUUGAGAUUUGGUUCCAGGUUAUGUGUGCCUGAGGUGGAUGAUUUGAAAAGAGAUGUGAUGACGGAAGCACAUCAAACUGCCUAUACUAUACAUCCUGGUUCUAACAAGAUGUAUAGAGACUUGAGAGAGUGUUACUGGUGGAAUGGCAUGAAGAGGGACAUUGCUGAAUUUGUAUCUCGAUGCUUGACCUGUCAAAGGGUUAAAGGUGAGCAUCAGAAACCACCAGGGCUUUUGCAGCCAUUGUUAAUUCCUUAAUGGAAAUGGGAGAGGAUCACUAUGGAUUUUGUGUCAGGUUUGCCUCGGAGUCAGGAGGGUUAUGAUUCGGUUUGGGUAAUAGUUGAUCGUUUGACCAAGUCAGCUCAUUUCUUGCCAGUAAAGGUGACAUAUGGGUUUGCAAAACUGGCAGAAAUCUAUGUUAACGAGAUCGUAAGGUUGCAUGGUGUGCCGAUCUCAAUUGUGUCCGACAGAGGUCCACAAUUCACUUCUCGAUUUUGGGUGAAGUUUCAGGAAGCUUUGGGGACUAACAUUCAGUUAAGUACUGCCUUUCAUCCUCAAACAGAUGGACAAUCUGAGAGGACUAUACAAAUUUUGGAGGAUAUGUUAAGAGCUUGUGUGAUUGACUUUGGUAUCGGAUGGAGCAAGUACUUGUCUUUGGUGGAGUUUGCGUAUAAUAAUAGUUAUCAAGCGAGCAUUGAUAUGGCUCCAUAUGAGGCUUUGUAUGGCCGGAAGUGCAGAUCACCUGUAUGUUGGUAUGAGGUUGGUGAGAGGAGAUUAAUGGGUCCCGAGUUAAUACAGAUUACUUCGGAUAAGAUUAAGGUGAUCCGAGAUAAGCUUCUAACAGCUCAGAGUAGGCAAAAGAAUUAUGCAGAUAAGAGAAGGCGUAAUCUAGAAUUUUCAGUGGGUGACAACGUGUUCCUAAAAGUCUCUCCGACUAAAGGGAUAUUCAGAUUUGGGAAGAAAGGAAAGUUGAGUCCUAGGUUUAUAGGGCCCUUUGAGAUCUUGGAAAGAGUAGGGGUAGUGGCAUAUCGGCUUGCCUUGCCACCUAAUUUAUCCUCUAUACAUCCGGUGUUCCAUGUUUCGAUGUUGAGAAAGUAUUUGUCUGAUCCAUCUCAUGUGCUGGAAGUUCAACCGGUUGAGCUGAGGAAAGAUAUGACAUAUGAAGUUCAACCAAUAAAAAUAGUGGAUCGACAAGUUAGAAAACUUCGGUCGAAAGAUAUCGCAUCGGUUAAGGUUGUGUGGAGCGGACACCCACGUGAAGAAGCGACGUGGGAGCUUGAGGAGGAAAUGCUCAACAAAUAUCCAUUCUUGUUUGAACUUGAUGGUAAGACUUUUUCUUAAAGUUUAAGUUUCGAGGACGAAACUUUUAUAAGGUGGGGAGAUUGUGAUGUUUUGAAAUUUAAUGAGUUGGUAAAAGGCAAUAAAGCCCUUGAAGGCUAAAAAUGAGUAUAAAUGAAUAAGGGGUAUUGUAGUAAUUGAACAAAGAGUUGAUAAAUAUAAAUAGAAGAGAAAAUAGAAGAAGAGAGCUGUGUUUUAAGAGUGAAAACUGACGGGAGAAGAGAAGAAAAAGGGGAGGAAGAAGAAGAGAAAAGAGGGAAAGAUAAGUAAAAGAGAAGAGAAUUGGAGGAAAUAAGUUUAAAGGUAAGAUUAUGUAUAAAUAUGUGUUCUUUAAGCCUUAAUUUCUGUUUUGAUAAAUGUUAGGGUUUUGAAUAUUGUGUUUUGAGUUUGAUUGAUGAAUUAAUUGGAAGGUUAUGGGUUGAUUGUUGUGGGUAAUUGGUUAAUUAGUUGAUUGUGAGAGAUUGGAGGUAAAGAUGAUGAUUUUGAGUUAUGAUUUUAUUUGAAUGGUGAAAUUGUGUUAGAAAUCAGAAGAUGACAGUAGGUAAUCUGUGAAAUUCUGGGUUUGAGGUUGAAGAUGACGAAAAUUCAAUUUGGUCCCUCAAUUUGUGAAAUUACAGUUUAGUCCCUAAACUUUGGGAAAAUUAUAAUUUGACCCCUAAUUGUAUUUUAAGAUUAUGGGCAGUGUUAUUAUGAGGUUAAGGAUGAUGAAUCUGAGUUUGAUAAUUGAUUUGGAAUAUUUUCAGUUUGGUCCCUCAAUUUUGGGAAUUUACAUUUUAGUCCCUGAACUUUAUGAAAAUUACAGUUCGGUCCCUGGUUCGUUCUAGACAGAAUUAAGGAUGGUUUAUGGGUGAAAAUUCAGUAUAGUUAUGUAUUUUCCAGAUUGGUCCAAUUUUGGUAAAAUUACGUUUUGGUCCCUGUUUUGGAAAAUUAUCGUUUUAGUCCAUAAACUUAGGAGACUAAACCUGGUUUUAUUUUAUGCAUUGGGAUCUCUUGUUUGAGUUGCUUUUGAGUAUAUUUUCAUAUUGUUGUAGGUUCUCCUAACGAUCCUCAAUAGGAUUUUCGGGUCUUUCGUCUGACAUUCCUUUUAGUUCUAUAUUUUCCGGGUGAGUGGAAUAAUCUUUAAUAUGCAUAUAUGAUAAGUAAAUAUGUAUGUUGAUUAUACAAUGAGUACAACUCGUUAAUUUCUUGAAUAAUUAUAUAUGUUGCUUAUUUUCCGAGUACUCAUUUAUUCUUGAAUUUGCACUUGCAAUCUGUCAAAGUAAAUUCUAUUUGAUAUGAUAUAUGUUUCUUUGAUGACUAUGUGAAUAUCUAUUAUGCCUUGAUAUGGGACUUGUCAGUAACUCCAUGCUAACGGAGAGUAGUUAGCCUGUGUGCACAUAGUAUUCUGUAUGUAUACCUAGCUGGUGAGAGAGGCAUCAGCCUGUGGCGACUGAUCAUCCCACAGUGGUCACCUUCGGGUGUCAUCUGGUCUGGUCACCUUCGGGUGUCAUCUGGUCACCUUCGGGUGUCAUCUGAUCUCUGACAUAUAGUCCAUUACGUUAUGAUGAUAUGUUUAGUAUGUAUGAUAUGUUCAGUAUGUAUAUGUAUAUGUAUAUGUAUAUCAAGAUAAAUGAUCUUGCGAACUAUUAAUAUCAAGAAUAUCUAAAAUGUAUAUUAAUUAUUAUUCCCUCACUGAGUUGGUUGAACUCACCCCUCAUUCUUAAUAUUAUUUCAGG